GCAUAUCAAUAAGCGGAGGAAAAGAAACCAACAGGGAUUGCCCUAGUAACGGCGAGUGAAGCGGCAACAGCUCAAAUUUGAAAUCUGGCUUCGGCCCGAGUUGUAAUUUGCAGAGGAAGCUUUAGGCGCGGCACCUUCUGAGUCCCCUGGAACGGGGCGCCAUAGAGGGUGAGAGCCCCGUAUAGUUGGAUGCCUAGCCUGUGUAAAGCUCCUUCGACGAGUCGAGUAGUUUGGGAAUGCUGCUCAAAAUGGGAGGUAAAUUUCUUCUAAAGCUAAAUACCGGCCAGAGACCGAUAGCGCACAAGUAGAGUGAUCGAAAGAUGAAAAGCACUUUGAAAAGAGGGUUAAACAGCACGUGAAAUUGUUGAAAGGGAAGCGCUUGUGACCAGACUUGCGCCAGGCUGAUCAUCCGGUGUUCUCACCGGUGCACUCAGCCCGGCACAGGCCAGCAUCGGUUCUCGCGGGGGGAUAAAGGUCUCGGGAACGUAGCUCCUCCGGGAGUGUUAUAGCCCGGGGCGUAAUGCCCUCGCGGGGACCGAGGUUCGCGCAUCUGCAAGGAUG
This 561-nucleotide ribosomal RNA is filed under the name Dichotomopilus subfunicola. Its description in RNAcentral is "eukaryotic LSU rRNA". It matches the Rfam family "Eukaryotic large subunit ribosomal RNA", at positions 38 to 625 of the family's 3401-position model. The record is from RNAcentral. Lineage: Eukaryota; Fungi; Ascomycota; Sordariomycetes; Sordariales; Chaetomiaceae.